CAAAAUAGAGUUUGGUAAAAACAUUUCAUUUACACUGAAAAACUUUCUUUAUAAGAUAUUUUGA
RNAcentral lists this transfer RNA (64 nucleotides) under Tropostreptus sigmatospinus. RNAcentral describes it as "tRNA-Val". Lineage: Eukaryota; Metazoa; Arthropoda; Diplopoda; Spirostreptida; Spirostreptidae. The record is from RNAcentral.